RNAcentral lists this long non-coding RNA (517 nucleotides) under Androctonus crassicauda. The record is from RNAcentral. Lineage: Eukaryota; Metazoa; Arthropoda; Arachnida; Scorpiones; Buthidae.
CAAGCAUCCAUCGUUUUGUGGUCGUGGUUGUGGUUCGUGUGAGUUGAGCCUAACGCUGAAACUGCCAAGUGGCCGUAUUAGCAGCACUGGCCGUAUAACCCUCAGUUACCUUACUUUGGCAAGAUUGCGAUUGGUUAAUUUAUAUUUGCUCAGAUGAAGCUCGGGAAUUCUAUUAUUAUUGUGGUUUGAUGUAUAUGACAAGCGAAUUACGUUGAUUUUUCUACAACAAUCAUAAAAUCGAUAAAUUCAGUUGAUUAGAAAAAAUGAAGAUCACAAUCCUAUUAUGUUUUUUCAUAAUGUGUUCAAUUUUAUCUGGAAGGAGCGAAAACAUGGGAAAUGAAUCGAUUGUCACCGAUGGAACAUUAAGGGCCAGUGAAACGGAUCAGAUUUUACAGGCAUUAGAGAAACUAGAGAACAAAGUAAAAAACUUUGCAAAAUCUGCAAUUCAGUUUGGUCUUCCUUUCUUCAUGAGAACUGCUGAAGAAGCGAAUUUGUCUCAUUCGUGUAAUAAAACUGG